Xenia sp. Carnegie-2017 is the source of this 1141-nucleotide long non-coding RNA. RefSeq lists it as uncharacterized. The transcript is spliced from 5 exons. The record is from RefSeq and is a predicted model, not a curated record. NCBI's taxonomy places the organism in Eukaryota, Metazoa, Cnidaria, Anthozoa, Malacalcyonacea, Xeniidae.
UAUGUGUGUAUGAAAUUUAUGAAAUAAAAGAGAAAAGAAAUCGUCAGAAUGUGCGAGCGAGCGAUGCAAUUUUCAAACGUCGCAUGCUUCAUGAUUCCGUAAACACAUCGUCAUUAAUGUCUGUAAAACGUACAGUGAACAUGUUUCUCUUGCUGGAAACUCUUUAAGACAAAAUUCUGUUACUCAAGAAUUUUAAAAUGAAACGAAUGAACUAAAGACUGCUAAAUCUUAUGUCAAAGACAGUAAAUAUUCUGAAGAAGUGAAUCAUGAGCGCCGAGGACGACGUUGAUAACGUUGAUCAACAAGAAUUAGACACUGUUUUAUGUACUGAAGAAGUUGCAACCGAUUGUUGAAAUUCAUAUUCCAUUGAAAUCCUACAGUGGCAGUACGGCUCUACGAACGAACGAUUUGUCACUGAAUCGAGACAGUAAAUAUCAAUAUGCUGCCAUGUUGAAGCUCUAGAAAUCCUACGGAGAGGAAUGCAAUCAAGUUGAUGAUGCCAAUUCACUUCAGGAAAGAAAUCAAGAUGAACUAAAUGGACUUGAAUUAAUAGACCUUGAGGUCAACAAUCUCUUUGAGCACAGCAGGCAGAAUAUGGACUGUCAUCUUGAUUUUAUGUCGCUUCCUCCCGAACUUAGAUGACUGUAAUUUGUUAUGGCAUGUUGAAAUACAAUUUGUCUUUUUACAACCAUUGAAAUUGUUACAAUGAUCAUAAAUAUUACAUCCAUAUGCAAUUGUUUAGCAACCUCAAUAUUUGGGGGAGGACGUAUUCAUACAUGUAUGUUCUGCAGAAUUAAAUUCUGUUUUAAAUCCAUUGUUUUCUAUAGAUUAAGACAUGCAUUCAUAAAUUCGAACCCUCCCCUCUUCCUCAUCAACGAGUUUGCUACGCUCCUGUUAUGGAAUAGACAGAGUAAAUUAGAACAUAAAUAGAACAUUUUUAUCAUUAGUCCAUAGUAAAAUGUAGACUUACUCAAGUAAGUUAAUUAAGGUUCAAAUAUCGUCACGUCCAAUAUAAUGCCAAUGUCAUUAAUAGGAAAGUACAUACAGGUUAGAGAUAUUAUGGGGAAAAACAACUUGAUAUUUUUUGUAUCCAAUAAUUUCUAGUCAAAUAAGGAGAGGCACCCUAUCUGUUGUAACCAAA